UUUAAUUAUGACCCUAUCUAUGAUCAACAUGGUUUGACAGCUAAGUUACUUCUUCUUUCUUCCUUGCUUUCCUUUUUUACCCUUCACAAAAUCCUGCAUCCAAUGUGGCUAUUUGACAUUCCUUUCCUUCCUGAUUUAAUUUAUCCAUCCUGCCAAUAGGGAUCAUCCAAUAUCUCCCCUUCCAUUGUUCCGUCUUGUAUUUCUUCAUGUUCCACUCCUGCUUCAACUAUUAUUCAUUUCCUUUGCACAUCAUCAUGAUGCUAGAUCUAUGAGUUUUUCACUUGGAUAUUGAAAUGGUUCUGCUACUUCCUGCUGUAUAUAUAAGCUCACCAUUUGCAUCACAAGAGCCAG
This 351-nucleotide long non-coding RNA is filed under the name Panax ginseng (ginseng). Its description in RNAcentral is "long non-coding RNA (PGIN_LNC005183)". The record is from RNAcentral. Lineage: Eukaryota; Viridiplantae; Streptophyta; Magnoliopsida; Apiales; Araliaceae.